UACGAAGGGGGCUAGCGCUGUUCGGAAUCACUGGGCGUAAAGCGCACGCAGACCGAUCGAUAAGUCGGGGGUGAAAGCCCGGGGCUCAACCUCGGAAUUGACUUCGAUUAUGUCGGUCUCGAGUCCGGGAGAGGUGAGUGGAAUUCCUAGUGUAGAGGUGAAAUUCGUAGAUAUUAGGAAGAACACCAGUGGCGAAGGCGGCUCACUGGCCCGGUACUGACGCUCAGGUGCGAAAGCGUGGGGAGCAAACAGG
Molecule: ribosomal RNA, 253 nt
Filed under: uncultured bacterium
Lineage: Bacteria
Description: partial 16S ribosomal RNA
Rfam family: Bacterial small subunit ribosomal RNA
Source: RNAcentral